This is a long non-coding RNA of Gasterosteus aculeatus aculeatus (three-spined stickleback), 937 nucleotides long. Lineage: Eukaryota; Metazoa; Chordata; Actinopteri; Perciformes; Gasterosteidae. The record is from Ensembl.
CUCAUGGCUCACGCCCUGUGUCUGGUGGGCUAGCUCAAGGCCCCAGACUGGUGUCGUCCUGUCCCUAUUUAGAGGUUCUCAUGGGAGGAGUCAAGGUGCCAUGUUUGAUUGACACCGGCUCUAUGGUUUCUACUGUUACAGAAAGCUUCUUUCAAAAACAUUUUGAACCUUGGGGUCAGGAGCGGCUCAAAGCCUGUAGCUGGUUACAGCUAAGGGCAGCUAAUGGGUUGAGCAUCCCGUACCUGGGUUAUUUGGAGCUCGAUGUUGAGUUGUGCGGUAAACUAGUUUCACUGUGUGGUAUCUUGGUGGUAAAAGACCCCCCUGGUAAUGCUUCUCUUCAGGCCCCUGGUGUGUUGGGAAUGAACGUGAUCCAGAAAUGUUAUCAAGAGCUCUUUGUGCAGCACGGUUUGUCCCUGUUUAAUCUGCCCUCUGUCACGCAGGCCCCACAACCUGUCACGCAGGCAUUACAGGAGUACCAUCAGGUGACCACGCAGACCUCCCAGGAGCUGUCUGGGAAGGCAAAGGUGCUGAGGGCCUCACUGGUGAUCCUGUUUGGUGAUGGUGUCCCUUCGUGUGUAGUGUCUUAUUCACUCCCCUCCUUUGCUUUGCCCUUGUGUGUUUGGAGUGUUAAUUUUGGAUUGUGGUGCUCCCAUUUUAAGUUUAUACUUUCACCCCUCACUCACCUUGAGCACAAAUGCCCCAGCCCUGGAAUACAUGAUAAUUUAUACAAAUAGGAUAACUUUUUAGAUUUGAAUUGUGCCCAAUAAACUGUUGUAUAUGCUUUUGGAAACACGUCUCUCGCCUGCUCAGUGUAACGAACUUGUGUUGUCCUUUUGUUUAGAUUUAGUAAUUUACCUUAUUCAUAGAUUUCUUUCUUUUCCCUGGGUGAUUUCUCCCAGGGUGGCGUUGCUGGUUUCCUUUAGUUUCUUUCUUUUUC